This 531-nucleotide ribosomal RNA is filed under the name uncultured bacterium. Its description in RNAcentral is "partial 16S ribosomal RNA". It matches the Rfam family "Bacterial small subunit ribosomal RNA", at positions 355 to 879 of the family's 1533-position model. The record is from RNAcentral.
UGGGGAAUUUUGGACAAUGGGCGAAAGCCUGAUCCAGCAAUGCCGCGUGUGUGAAGAAGGCCUUCGGGUUGUAAAGCACUUUUGUCCGGAAAGAAAUCCUCUGGGUUAAUACCUCGGGGGGAUGACGGUACCGGAAGAAUAAGCACCGGCUAACUACGUGCCAGCAGCCGCGGUAAUACGUAGGGUGCAAGCGUUAAUCGGAAUUACUGGGCGUAAAGCGUGCGCAGGCGGUUUUGUAAGACGGAUGUGAAAUCCCCGGGCUUAACCUGGGAACUGCAUUCGUGACUGCAAGGCUAGAGUAUGGCAGAGGGGGGUAGAAUUCCACGUGUAGCAGUGAAAUGCGUAGAGAUGUGGAGGAAUACCGAUGGCGAAGGCAGCCCCCUGGGCCAAUACUGACGCUCAUGCACGAAAGCGUGGGGAGCAAACAGGAUUAGAUACCCUGGUAGUCCACGCCCUAAACGAUGUCAACUAGUUGUUGGGGAUUCAUUUCCUUAGUAACGUAGCUAACGCGUGAAGUUGACCGCCUGGGGG